Molecule: long non-coding RNA, 707 nt
Organism: Cyprinus carpio carpio
Lineage: Eukaryota; Metazoa; Chordata; Actinopteri; Cypriniformes; Cyprinidae
Source: Ensembl
AAAAUACAUUGCGUAGCAAAGAGGACACUGACAAUGCGCCGACAGACAAAACAGAGCAAGUUACUUUAGAUCCUGUGAGUUGUGACAUUCAAGAACUGCCAUCAUUUGGACCUUUUCUACAUCAUGACAUGAAGACAGAUCUGCAUACUUGUCAUUGAUUGAUUGAUUCAUCCAUUCAAAGCUAUAACAAGAGUAUUUCCACGUUUCACUGUGAUAGCUUCAAGAGGAGGUGAAAGCAGAUUGAGGAGGUCGAGUGAGGCUAACGCAGGAAGAAGUGAAGUGAAAUGCUAACAGACACAGGCCACUGCUCUUCCCCUCUGGCAGGACAACUCUCCAUAACCCUAUACAGACACCGCUGCAUCCCCCGACACAUCCCCCAUCACUACCGAACUGACACGCCGCUCUCAUCCGCUCUGAUUCUGUGUGGGCGUCUACUUGCAUGUUAGUCAUUGUGAACGCAGUGCACAAACCUUUACGGCCUUUGUCAUGUAACCUUGCCCUUGCUCUAUCCCUGUAAAAGAAAAGAAAAGAGAAGAAAAUGCAAGGUGUUGAGUGGGAGGAAGUCAAAGAGGGAGUGAAAUGAAAGUGGGCGUGAAGCGUGUGCACUAUAAAAUAAAAGAUGAGAGGAAGCAGUUAAUGACCAGCCGAUAAUAAAUAAAGUGCAUGUCAGAUUAACAGUAAAAAGAGGGAACAAAUGAAGAGAGUGG